Molecule: long non-coding RNA, 2381 nt
Filed under: Orbicella faveolata
Lineage: Eukaryota; Metazoa; Cnidaria; Anthozoa; Scleractinia; Merulinidae
Description: uncharacterized LOC110059955
Source: RNAcentral
GGGGGGGGGGGGGGGUGCAAACGGCCGGAUACCAUUCGAGGAAAAACGCUACUUUAUAAUAGAGAAACGCAUAGAGACCCAUUUGGGGGAUUUUGAUACGACUUAGUGUUCCCUAUAGUUGUAACUGUAUGCUAGGCUUGUUGUAUAGAGGCAGAUAUGGACUUAAACCUGUAAUUGUCGUGUCAAGAUUAGCAUGAUUGCUAGUUAGUAUAUGCAACUAUUUUAAUCCAAAACUCCACGUGUUUCAAGAUUUAGCUUCAUUUGUUUGACGCUACAUGUUAUAGCUGACAGCCAUAGACCUUUCACAAACAUUGUUCUGAGAAAAAAAAUAGAUCAGUUAUAUUUGCUAUCAGUUCUUGAGCUCAAUUCCGUAUUACAAAGAGCCGUAAUUUCGGAGAGAGAAAUCUUGUGAGAAAUAUCGUAUAGGUGGUGUGUUUGAUCCAAGAAAUAUUGUUUGAUUUCAUGGUUGACAAAUGAUUGUUUUGACAGAGGAGACCGUAUAUACUGAAGGUGAUUUUAAAUAGAAAUAUGUUGAACAGUGCUCCAUGUUCUGCACACUUCGUUAAAUAUGUCAACUUUUUAAAUAUAUCAUGUAUUAAACUUGUGCUUUUACUUUGCCAUGGUGCACAACCACGAGAUAAAGAAAGCGAGCUGUGGGGUUGAACCUGUUCCUUUCUUUCCGAACGAGAAAGCCUUGAAAAUUUCUUUCGAGACAGUACUCGUUCGUGCUUUUGGGAGGUUGGUUGUAUCGGGGUUUUGUUUUCUCGUUUUGUUUGUUGAUGUCUAGCACCGAAUUGGAAUUUAAUCUUUAUGCCGUGACAGAAGCUUCUGGCCGUGAAAGUGUAGGACUACAGUUUUUACAAGCUAUCAUAGAACUAGCCUGUGUGAAAGUGUAUCCUAGUUCUUUGAAUUAAGGAGACUGAAAGAUCUCUGAAAGCAGGCAACCAUGAACAGGGGUCAACUUAUACAAAUCCUCCCAUAUACAGUGUCAAAUCUCCCCACCGCCCCCCCUCCUAUAUAUCGACCACUGACGUUAAAUUUCCGGCACCGGGGCGCAUCCAGUGGUCAGGUGCCCGCGUAUGGCCGAUGGUGGGGGACUUUUGAUGUCUCGUCUUGAUCGAUACAUAGACUUACAGACGAUCUCUUGGAAAGCAAGCCUUUUAUAAACAUGCUAUAAGUGAGCAUCAUGAUUUCUGUUGACGCGUGAGUUUAAACUACGAAGGAAAUUUCUUGCACAACUGCAUGUAUGUUUUUUUCCUCCCAUUAAUUACUGAACUUGCUCACAGGUCAAGCUGCGAAAGCCGAGUUCAGAAAACGAAAAAUGAUCGUGACGCAGGACUUAGAGAAAGUCUAAUUAGAUACAUGCGUUUCCUUUUGAAAAUAAUAAAGUAUGUGGGUAACCUGGUUACUUGCAGUUAUUCGUAAAAUAUGUUAAACAAUUUAAAUGUUAAAGCGAAUACAGAUAAGCUUGACAUCAAGCGAGAGGUGUUUAACCAGUCUGGCCAAUAUAGGCGGCAAAGAGACCGUAGAAUCGUUUAGCUUUCAGUUUCAGAGAUUAUAAAGCGAAGAAUGCAUCACGCUAUUGUUGUGUUGUUUUUCCUUUGUUUCCACAUUUCGUUGAGUGCCGAAAUCUGCAAGCCUGACCUCCAGCCCUCGAGUAAAUGCAGUGAGUGGAAAGAAGGUGGAUACUGCACAGGGUCUUGGGAGAGUACCUAUUAUAUGAAAACAAAUUGCUACUCUACUUGUCGUGGUUGUCAAGGCCCCAACUACUGAGUCUCGUGAACACCGAACCAAGUCCAGUUGCAGCUGAUGGAAGUUUCGACAGUGUUUCGUGAAUACGGCUUCUAUCGUAUAGUUGUUACUCCUAAAGCUGAUGUCUUGAAAGACAGAGAUAUUUUACAAAGCUUCAAUCAUGGACAAAAGUCUUGAGACAAAUUUGCACUUUUAGCGCUUUUGCACACAGGCCAGACGCGAAUACAACUUCACCCGCCUAGCCCCACCCCCCACUCCACAUACAAUGUUGGAAACUAGUACCCGUAAUAUUUCUCCUUACUUUCAACAUUGUUUUGAGUGGGGAGGGGGGAAGGCGGGGGGGGGCAGCAACGCGUUUUAAAAGGAUAGCAAUGCUUUUUCAAACUUCAGUUGUAAAACACAGAUAAUUCGUUGCAUUACAUCAGUGUCCCAAAGAUUUUUGUCCAUGACUGUAAUUUACCAAUCCACUAAAUGCAGUCUUUAUGCCAGAGUUUGAAUAUAGUAAUAAAGAAACUUAAAAUUGUCGAAAGUUAAUGCUUUAAUACGUAACAGUAGUUUUGCCAGUGCACGGCUCAGAACGUGCAACAAGAUCACACAAUAAAAUUAUGAGUUCAAGCUCUACUGACUCA